ACGGAGGGUGCGAGCGUUAUUCGGAAUUACUGGGCGUAAAGCGCAUGUAGGUGGUCCAUCAAGUCAGCUGUGAAAGCCUGGGGCUCAACGUCGGAACUGCAGUUGAAACUAUAGGGCUAGAGUACGGUAGAGGAGAGUGGAACUUCAGGUGGAGCGGUGAAAUGCGUAGAUAUCAGAAGGAACGUCGGCGGCGAAGGCGGCCCUCUAGACCGAAACCGACACUCAUACGCGAAAGCGUGGGGAGCAAACAG
RNAcentral lists this ribosomal RNA (251 nucleotides) under uncultured prokaryote. Its description in RNAcentral is "partial 16S ribosomal RNA". It matches the Rfam family "Bacterial small subunit ribosomal RNA", at positions 525 to 775 of the family's 1533-position model. The record is from RNAcentral.